RNAcentral lists this ribosomal RNA (1014 nucleotides) under Glabratella patelliformis. Its description in RNAcentral is "bacterial SSU rRNA". It matches the Rfam family "Eukaryotic small subunit ribosomal RNA", at positions 1160 to 1828 of the family's 1831-position model. Lineage: Eukaryota; Foraminifera; Rotaliida; Glabratellidae. The record is from RNAcentral.
AAGGGCACCACAAGAACGCGUGGAGCAUGUGGCUUAAUUUGACUCAACGCGGGAAAUCUUACCGGGUCCGGACACACUGAGGAUUGACAGGUUUUAUCCAUAUAUAUUUUAUAUAUGGUGUCAAAAAUGCUAGUCCUUUCAUGAUUAUGUGAUAGGUGGUGCAUGGCCGUUCUUAGUUCGUGGAGUGAUCUGUCUGCUUAAUUGCGUUUCACUACGAAUCUACUUUAAACGUGUGUUUGUGAGAUGAACUGAUCCCUCCCAUUCUUCGGUUUGGCGAGUUGUGCGUCUUUUUAUCGUUAUCACAUCGCACAACGUUGAUUCUGAAAGCAACGAACGUGACCGCAACCUCUUGUUGCCUGUAUCACCAAAACAGUUUGCACUCAGUGCUCUCUGUAUAAACAGGCCUUAUAUUAAUAAACUAGAGGGACCGCUGUUACUUUCUUAAACCAGAGGAAGGUUGCGGCAAUAACAGGUCUGUGAUGCCCUUAGAUGUUCCGGGCUGCACACGUGCUACAAUGAUUAUUGCAGUGAGCAUCUCAUAUUUAUACAUCACUUGCAUGAGCUGUAUAGUUUUUUACUAUGCUGUCUCUAUGCGUGAUAAAGCCUGCUUCGAAAGUAAGUGGGUAAUCAAUUAGAAGUAAUGAUUUCCUUUAUAUGCACAUUUAUGUUUGGCUCUGGAUCCCAGUCUAACUCUUGUUAGUAUUUGAGUGUAUUCAGUGGACCUAUUUUUGGUCUCUACCAUUCGUGCAAUUGUCAAUUCAUGGUGGGGACAGACCAUUGUUAAUUGUUGGUCUCGGUCUUAACUAGGAAUGCCUUGUACGGGUCUUUGGUUCAACAAACCACCCGGAAUACGUCCCUGCCCUUUGUACACACCGCCCGUCGCUCUUACCGAUGGAUUUCUCUGUGAGUUUGAGGGACUGGAUAUUUAAUCUAUGGAAACUUAAACGAACAGUGUGAUCUAAAGGAAAGAGAAGUCGUAACAAGGCAUCGGUAGGUGAACCUGCAGAAGGAUCA